Molecule: non-coding RNA, 626 nt
Organism: Pelodiscus sinensis (Chinese soft-shelled turtle)
Lineage: Eukaryota; Metazoa; Chordata; Testudines; Trionychidae
Source: RefSeq, a predicted model, not a curated record
UUCAAUGUAUGAAUGAGAGACAUGGAGGAUGUUACCUUCAAAGUCUUGAUGAGCAACUGUUAAACUAUCCCUUUUGUUCUUAAGUCCUAGCAGUGGUUGGUAGGAAGUGUCCUCAAUUCUUUAACAAAAGGAAUAGGAGAGGAGAGGCCUUGGUCUUUGGCUGGGCUGCACCUGAAGGAAGGAGCCGAGGACCCUACGGUGGUAAAGAGAGCCCUGGUUUAAACUGGCAGCUGGAAAAGAGGUUUUAGGGGGCUAUGAUGCAUUUCUUGUGCACUGAAAAAAUUUCCAUUGAAGGUACUGGAGACAGGUAGAACUCAGGACCGUCUCAUCUGGAACCAGAAACUGAUGAAAUAGGCAAGUCCCUGGAACCAGUGAGUAGAUUCAGGUGUUAGAUAGAUCAGGUGACCAGUGAAGGACUCCUCCGACGCAUGUGCUGUCCUUCUGUAGCCUCUGUGGCAUCAAAGUUUUAAUUCUAACUCAUUUGAAUCAGUCUCUGCUUCCUGCCAAUGGAAAAAGGGUAUGAAAGUCUGUGAAGAAGGGUAGCAAAGAUGGAGUCUAUUGUGACGGGGUCCCCCCUCCCCCCGCCAUGCAUUAUGAAAUGGACUUAUGGGCACAAAUACACAUAA